CGGGCUGUAGCGCAGUCUGGCUAGCGCGCUUGCUUGGGGUGCAAGAGGUCGUGGGUUCAAAUCCCGCCAGCCCGA
This 75-nucleotide transfer RNA is filed under the name Planctomycetaceae bacterium. RNAcentral describes it as "tRNA-Pro". It matches the Rfam family "tRNA". From Rfam's summary of the family: Transfer RNA (tRNA) molecules are approximately 80 nucleotides in length. Their secondary structure includes four short double-helical elements and three loops (D, anti-codon, and T loops). The record is from RNAcentral. RNAcentral also lists the same sequence under 1 other name. Lineage: Bacteria; Pseudomonadati; Planctomycetota; Planctomycetia; Planctomycetales; Planctomycetaceae.